RNAcentral lists this ribosomal RNA (333 nucleotides) under uncultured bacterium. RNAcentral's name for it is "bacterial SSU rRNA". It matches the Rfam family "Bacterial small subunit ribosomal RNA", at positions 8 to 334 of the family's 1533-position model. The record is from RNAcentral.
AGGGUUUGAUUCUGGCUCAGGAUGAACGCUAGCUACAGGCUUAACACAUGCAAGUCGAGGGGCAGCAUGACGAUAGCUUGCUAUUGUUGAUGGCGACCGGCGCACGGGUGAGUAACGCGUAUCCAACCUGCCCUUGUCCAUCGGAUAACCCGUCGAAAGGCGGCCUAACACGAUAUGCAGUUCUCCGCAGGCAUCUAACGAGAACGAAAUGUGAAGGAGAAGGAUGGGGAUGCGUCUGAUUAGCUUGUUGGCGGGGUAACGGCCCACCAAGGCGACGAUCAGUAGGGGUUCUGAGAGGAAGGUCCCCCACAUUGGAACUGAGACACGGUCCAA